AUUCCAGCUCCAAUAGCGUAUACUAGAGUUGUUGCAGUUAAAAAGCUCGUAGUUGAAUUUCUGGUCUCGGACAGCGGUCUGCCUCAAACGAGGUACGCACCACCUGUUCAGGUCCAUCCUCGGAGAAAACAUGCCUGUGAUUCAGUUCAUGGGUAUGGGAUCUUCGUCAUUUACUGUGAGCAAAAUAUAGUGUUCAAAGCAGGCUUAUGCCGUUGAAUACAUUAGCAUGGAAUAAUAAAAUAAGACCUUGGUCUAUUUUGUUGGUUUGUACUCCAAGGUAAUGAUUAAUAGGGAUAGUUGGGGGUAUUCGUAUUCAAUUGUCAGAGGUGAAAUUCUUGGAUUUAUGGAAGACGAACUACUGCGAAAGCAUUUACCAAGGAUGUUUUCAUUA
RNAcentral lists this ribosomal RNA (391 nucleotides) under Chrysophyceae sp. Its description in RNAcentral is "partial small subunit ribosomal RNA". It matches the Rfam family "Eukaryotic small subunit ribosomal RNA", at positions 582 to 975 of the family's 1831-position model. Lineage: Eukaryota; Chrysophyceae. The record is from RNAcentral.